GAGGGAUAUUGGUCAAUGGGCGCAAGCCUGAACCAGCGACGCCGCGUGGGUGAUGAAGGUCUUCGGAUCGUAAAACCCUUUUCUAGGUGACGAGACAAGGACGGUAGCCUAGGAAGAAGUCUCGGCUAACUACGUGCCAGCAGCCGCGGUAAAACGUAGGAGGCAAGCGUUAUCCGGAGUUACUGGGCGUAAAGCGCAUGUAGGCGGUUGGGCAAGUGGCGUGUGAAAGCUCCCGGCUAAACUGGGAGACGACAGGUCAGACUGCCGAACUGGAGUCCGAUAGAGGAGCGUAGAAUUCCGGGUGUAGCGGUGAAAUGUGUAGAGAUCCGGAGGAAUACCAGUGGCGCAAGCGGCGCUCUGGGCCGAGACUGACGCUGAGGAGCGAAAGCGUGGGUAGCAAA
RNAcentral lists this ribosomal RNA (401 nucleotides) under uncultured bacterium. Its description in RNAcentral is "bacterial SSU rRNA". It matches the Rfam family "Bacterial small subunit ribosomal RNA", at positions 356 to 772 of the family's 1533-position model. The record is from RNAcentral.